Molecule: long non-coding RNA, 511 nt
Organism: Gasterosteus aculeatus aculeatus (three-spined stickleback)
Lineage: Eukaryota; Metazoa; Chordata; Actinopteri; Perciformes; Gasterosteidae
Source: Ensembl
UAUGUGUCACAGGCAGACGCUCCCCGUCCCCGGAAUAUUGAGGUGCGAAGAUCGGGACCUCAGUCACCCCUCUGUUUUGAGCCAUAAUGACCUCGUUCCUGCCUGCCUGAUCCUCAACGGUACUUCUGUCUAACUCCACGUAAUCCCGGCUUUCGACCACCCGCCUGUACUCCGGAUACGACCACGCCUGACCCCCUGACGAAGACUUCGCCUUCAAUCAGACCCAGCAGAGUCGCAGAGUCCCUUCAGUCCUUGGAGAUGUCCGACCCGGACCAGCGGGCUGUAGGAGGCCCCAGCAUGGCACAUAUCGUCAAACAUCUUGCCGCGGUCCAAGCAGAGCACGGUCAACGACUGGGUCGAGUCGGGGAGUCCGUGCACAACUUAGCAGCAGCGCUCCAGGAUUUCCAGCAGUACACAGUACAUACGGCUGUUCAGGCGCUCGCCGCUACUGCCCCUGUCGAGGCUCCCUCUACCAGAGGAACCCUCGCACCAGCGUUACCACAGUCAGCAC